CCUGGAAACAGAUGCUAAUACCGGAUAACAAUAGAUGAUGCCUAUCAACUGUUUAAAAGAUGGUUCUGCUAUCACUCUUGGAUGGACCUGCGGUGCAUUAGCUAGUUGGUAGGGUAACGGCCUACCAAGGCGAUGAUGCAUAGCCGAGUUGAGAGACUGAUCGGCCACAUUGGGACUGAGACACGGCCCAAACUCCUACGGGAGGCAGCAGCC
Molecule: ribosomal RNA, 213 nt
Filed under: uncultured Lactobacillus sp.
Lineage: Bacteria; Bacillati; Bacillota; Bacilli; Lactobacillales; Lactobacillaceae
Description: partial 16S ribosomal RNA
Rfam family: Bacterial small subunit ribosomal RNA
Source: RNAcentral